Molecule: transfer RNA, 67 nt
Filed under: Marmota monax (woodchuck)
Lineage: Eukaryota; Metazoa; Chordata; Mammalia; Rodentia; Sciuridae
Description: tRNA.Ala
Rfam family: tRNA
About the family: Transfer RNA (tRNA) molecules are approximately 80 nucleotides in length. Their secondary structure includes four short double-helical elements and three loops (D, anti-codon, and T loops). Further hydrogen bonds mediate the characteristic L-shaped molecular structure. tRNAs have two regions of fundamental functional importance: the anti-codon, which is responsible for specific mRNA codon recognition, and the 3' end, to which the tRNAs corresponding amino acid is attached (by aminoacyl-tRNA synthetases). tRNAs cope with the degeneracy of the genetic code in two manners: having more than one tRNA (with a specific anti-codon) for a particular amino acid; and 'wobble' base-pairing, i.e. permitting non-standard base-pairing at the 3rd anti-codon position.
Source: RNAcentral
GGCUGUAGCUCAGUGGUACAGUGCUUGCCUUGCAUGCGUGAGGCACUGAGUUUGAUCCUCAGCACCA